This 404-nucleotide ribosomal RNA is filed under the name uncultured marine eukaryote. RNAcentral describes it as "SSU rRNA". It matches the Rfam family "Eukaryotic small subunit ribosomal RNA", at positions 619 to 1022 of the family's 1831-position model. The record is from RNAcentral.
UUAAAAAGCUCGUAGUUGGAUUCCUGACCUGGGGUAGCCGGUCCGCCUUGCAAAAGGUGCGCACUGAGCGGCCUCGGUCACCCUUGAGAAGAGCGGUCCUGGCAUUCAGUUGUCGGGGUCGGGAUUCUCGACGUUUACUGUGAAAGAAUCAGAGUGUUCAACGCAGGCUUACGCCUCGAAUACAUUAGCAUGGAAUAAUGAGAUAGGACCUUGGCGGUCUAUUUUGUUGGUUUGCACGCCGAGGUAAUGAUUAAAAGGGACGGUUGGGGUUCUUCGUAUUCAAUUGUCAGAGGUGAAAUUCUUGGAUUUAUGGAAGACGAACUGCUGCGAAAGCGUCGAACAAGGACGUUCUCAUUAAUCAAGAACGAAAGUUAGGGGAUCGAAGAUGAUUAGAUACCAUCGUA